AACGAACGCUGGCGGCAUGCCUAACACAUGCAAGUCGAACGAUGCCUUCGGGCAUAGUGGCGCACGGGUGCGUAACGCGUGGGAAUCUGCCUUUCGGUUCGGAAUAACUCAGGGACACUUGAGCUAAUACCGGAUAACGUCGCAAGACCAAAUAUUUAUCACCGAAAGGUGAGCCCGCGUAGGAUUAGCUAGUUGGUGAGGUAAAGGCUCACCAAGGCGACGAUCCUUAGCUGGUCUGAGAGGAUGAUCAGCCACACUGGGACUGAGACACGGCCCAGACUCGUACGGGAGGAAGCAGUGGGGAAUAUUGGAGAAGGGGCGAAAGCCUGAUCCAGCAAUGCCGCGUGAGUGAUGAAGGCCUUAGGGUUGUAAAGCUCUUUUACCCGGGAAGAUAAUGACGGUACCGGGAGAAUAAGCCCCGGCUAACUCCGUG
This 433-nucleotide ribosomal RNA is filed under the name uncultured bacterium. Its description in RNAcentral is "partial 16S ribosomal RNA". It matches the Rfam family "Bacterial small subunit ribosomal RNA", at positions 29 to 507 of the family's 1533-position model. The record is from RNAcentral.